AAAUGUUGCCUGGAAUCACUCAACACAAGAAGAACCCUCUUUGCCUUGUUGCCAAGAUCUCUUCCGUAUAGAUGCAUCCCUAUGUAGCAACUCUUGGUUUGUUUCUUGCAUUAUAUGCCUCUUUGUUGGGACAAUGUUAUGAAAAAUAUGAAAACAAUUAUGUUUACAGUGAGUAAUUAACAAUUACCAAGUUAAUGUUGGAACUUAAUUAAAUGAUGAACACACACAUAAUUGAG
RNAcentral lists this long non-coding RNA (236 nucleotides) under Trifolium pratense (red clover). RNAcentral describes it as "long non-coding RNA (TPRA_LNC008713)". The record is from RNAcentral. Lineage: Eukaryota; Viridiplantae; Streptophyta; Magnoliopsida; Fabales; Fabaceae.